Molecule: long non-coding RNA, 726 nt
Filed under: Homo sapiens (human)
Lineage: Eukaryota; Metazoa; Chordata; Mammalia; Primates; Hominidae
Description: HSALNT0226899
Source: RNAcentral
CGGGGCUGGAUGCCCAGGGUCUGCUGCCUCCAUGGGAUCUGGCUGGGCUCGAAGUCGGGGCUCAGCAAAGGUAUUUCGUGUGAACGAGGAAUCCACGGGUCAGACCCGCUUCCACAGCCCUGAGUCGGGGCGGGUGCCAGGGCCAGUCACCCUGACACUCAGGAGGUGCCGGCCUGUGGGGCGUCCGCGGGUGGGCCUCUGACGCAGAGAAAGACCCAGAUCCAGCUACCUCGGGGGCCUCCUGCUGCGCCUCGCCUUUGGGGCAGGCCUGAGGGCAACGCUUACUGCGGAGCAACUGUGUUCUACAGUGUAGUCCCGACACUGAAGACUCCUGGUCCUGGACUCUGCUGUAAUCUAGAAAUCCACUAAGAUUCGGCUCGACUUACAGACCUCAGCGCAGGACGUGGACGCCCUGCAAAGGAGGACAUUUCAGCGGACGGCAGAGAAUACAGAUUUAUGCCAGCGCCCUGCGGAAGGAGCCUCUGGCGGGUCAUCUCCAUUUAUGGGAGAUCGCAGAGCGGUGAGCAAAGUCUUGCACCAGCGGGGAUGUCGGGGUGGAACUGAACCUGUUGUAGGGGACCCCCAGUGUGCCCUGGUUUCUGGGGCUGAUUCAUUACGUCACUUAGUUUCUACUAUUCUCAUGCCACCCCGCCAAUUACUAGACAUAAAACGUUCCCAGGGAAGCCCGGCUAGCUCAGUCGGUAGAGCAUGGGACUCUUAAUCUCA